UGAUUGAUACUAGUAGCACUAACAAUUCUAUGGACAGUGAGACUAUUGACCGAUUGGCCCACCAUAUUGAAGACUAUGACAGAUUCGAAGUAAAGAUCAUUGAUGGACAGAUUUUCACUUGUGAUAGCAAAGGUUUAAAGAUAAAAUUGAUUAUACAGGGUCAGAAGUUUCAUGCAACGAUUACUACACUGAAAGAUCAACCUGUUGCUUACACUCUCAAAAAGUGGAG
This 229-nucleotide long non-coding RNA is filed under the name Musa acuminata (dwarf banana). RNAcentral describes it as "long non-coding RNA (MACU_LNC007882)". Lineage: Eukaryota; Viridiplantae; Streptophyta; Magnoliopsida; Zingiberales; Musaceae. The record is from RNAcentral.